GCAGCAUCUCGGUAGGUGAGGCGUCUGCACGGAUACAGGCCACUGACCCCGAACGUCGAGAGACGCCCCGGGUCAGGACAGCUCUUCCCGGCUUAAGGGUUGAGCCCAAGUGGCUUCCGGAUCGUGAUCCGGAUACGCCGUGCAGUGCCGAAGCUCCGACGAGAGGGAUGCGCG
This 174-nucleotide small RNA is filed under the name Mycobacterium kyorinense. RNAcentral's name for it is "Magnesium sequence". It matches the Rfam family "M-box riboswitch aptamer (ykoK leader)". Rfam says of the family: M-box riboswitch, also know as ykoK leader is described as a metaloregulatory RNA that sense divalent metals and function as a genetic control element of genes related to divalent metal transport in bacteria. Lineage: Bacteria; Bacillati; Actinomycetota; Actinomycetes; Mycobacteriales; Mycobacteriaceae. The record is from RNAcentral.